Rhopalosiphum padi (bird cherry-oat aphid) is the source of this 465-nucleotide long non-coding RNA. RefSeq lists it as uncharacterized. The record is from RefSeq and is a predicted model, not a curated record. Lineage: Eukaryota; Metazoa; Arthropoda; Insecta; Hemiptera; Aphididae. The transcript is spliced from 2 exons.
AAACAUGUAACUCGUGUGAUAAUAUUAGUUAUAAUUUUAAUCUUCGAGCGUUCAAAGCGAUUUUACGAAUAUUUGCUAAACAUCCAGCUGAGGCCUCCUGUACAUCGGGAUCUCGUGACGCAAUAGUCUCCAUUAGGAACUCUGCGUCAUCAGGCAACGAUGUCGGAUUAUACCAUCUGUCUUCUUCAAACUCGCUCAACGUCAUACUGUAACUUGAACUGUCAUCUGAUUGUGCGGGUUCCUCGACAAUUAACGUGUACAAAGCACUAGGGCCCUAAUAUCCAAAAAUGGAUAUCAUAUACAAAUUUUAUUAUUAAAUAGUCAAUAACUUAAUGUACACAUUCUAUGUUAUAUAAACCCAUAUUGUGUUAUUGGAAAUUUAUUAGUAAUUUAACUAAUAAAAAUUUAUUGUAAGCAUGUUAAAUAAUGUGAUUGACUAUUAAAAUAAACAAAUUAUAAUUAUUA